RNAcentral lists this ribosomal RNA (292 nucleotides) under uncultured Rubellimicrobium sp. Its description in RNAcentral is "partial 16S ribosomal RNA". It matches the Rfam family "Bacterial small subunit ribosomal RNA", at positions 505 to 796 of the family's 1533-position model. Lineage: Bacteria; Pseudomonadati; Pseudomonadota; Alphaproteobacteria; Rhodobacterales; Roseobacteraceae. The record is from RNAcentral.
GUGUCAGCAGCCGCGGUAAUACGGAGGGGGUUAGCGUUGUUCGGAAUGACUGGGCGUAAAGCGCGCGUAGGCGGAUCAGGAAGUUGGGGGUGAAAUCCCGGGGCUCAACCCCGGAAUGGCCUUCAAAACUCCUGGUCUUGAGUUCGAGAGAGGUGAGUGGAAUUCCGAGUGUAGAGGUGAAAUUCGUAGAUAUUCGGAGGAACACCAGUGGCGAAGGCGGCUCACUGGCUCGACACUGACGCUGAGGUGCGAAAGCGUGGGGAGCAAACAGGAUUAGAUACCCUAGUAGUCC